AGAUUGAACGCUGGCGGCAUGCCUGACACAUGCAAGUCGAACGGGAGUAGCAAUACUCUAGUGGCGGACGGGUGAGGAAUACGUAGGAAUUUGCCCUUAAGUGGGGGAUAACCCGGGGAAACCCGGAUUAAUACCGCAUGACCUCGAAAGAGCAAAGUGGGGGAUCGCAAGACCUCACGCUUUUGGAGAAACCUACGUCGGAUUAGCUAGUUGGUGAGGUAAUGGCUCACCAAGGCGACGAUCCGUAACUGGUCUGAGAGGAUGAUCAGUCACACCGGAACUGAGACACGGUCCGGACUCCUACGGGAGCAGCAGUGGGGAAUAUUGGACAAUGGGCGCAAGCCUGAUCCAGCAAUGCCGCGUGUGUGAAGAAGGCCUCGGUUGUAAGA
RNAcentral lists this ribosomal RNA (389 nucleotides) under uncultured soil bacterium. RNAcentral's name for it is "bacterial SSU rRNA". It matches the Rfam family "Bacterial small subunit ribosomal RNA", at positions 26 to 430 of the family's 1533-position model. The record is from RNAcentral.